This 349-nucleotide ribosomal RNA is filed under the name Oncotus sp. 2 KK-2018. RNAcentral describes it as "partial 12S ribosomal RNA". Lineage: Eukaryota; Metazoa; Arthropoda; Insecta; Coleoptera; Tenebrionidae. The record is from RNAcentral.
UUAUUUUGAAUGUUAUUUUGAGCUGAGAUUAUUAAUAGUUAUGUUCUUUAAAAUUAAAAAAUUUGGCGGUAUUUUAGUCUGUUCAGAGGAACCUGUUUCUUAAUCGAUGGUCCACGAUAAAGCUUACUUUUAUUUUAAAUUUAUAUAUCGUCGUUUAUAAGGAUUUUAGUAGAAUUUAAAUUUUUUUUAUUCUAGAUUUGGAAGUAAUUCAGAUCAAGGUGUAGUUUAUAUAAAAGUUUUAAUGGGUUACAUUAUUUAAAAAUGUGGUUUUUAGUUUUUAAAUUUAAAAUAAAAUGGAUUUGAUAGUAAAUUUCUUAUUUAUGGAAUUUGAUUUAGCUCUAAAAUAUGC